This 929-nucleotide long non-coding RNA is filed under the name Homo sapiens (human). RNAcentral describes it as "HSALNT0290078". The record is from RNAcentral. Lineage: Eukaryota; Metazoa; Chordata; Mammalia; Primates; Hominidae.
ACGGGACGGUCUCCACCUUGACUCCUCCAUCUGGCCCAAACCCCGACAGCUCCAGGUUUGAGACCCUCCUGCAGACCCCAGCACCAUACCUGGGAGCAAGGUGAGCGGCGGGCGGAGGAUGCACCGGGAUGGAAAAUGUGUGGAGCAGAGAGGGAUUGUCCACCCACCAGCCCAACUCCCCUGUUUAUCAGGAAGAACUUAUUAGUUUGAAUUACAAACAACAGAAGUAGAAAACUCCACAAGGAAAAAUCUCAGCUGGUGAAGAAGCUCAGGAGCUCACAGAAGUGUGAUGAAGUAAUCAAACCAUCGCCAUCGGCUAAGGAAACCGAGGGGUGCAGAGCUGAUGUCGCUUGGCCCGCAAGCCACGGAGAGUGGGAGCAAGAGGAGGUUUGGUCAGGCUGCCUCUGCCCCUGUCUUUCUCGGCCCACAGGCUCCAAGCAGGCAGGACCAGACCGCAGCUUCCAGGUGCUGGGAUCCGGGGACCACACCUUCACCUGCUGCUCUCUUGAAGGAAAAACAAAUAUCUGCCUCUGGCAGGUAAAAAAAAAAUAAAAGGAGUGCGUCUCAUGCUGUUUGUGAUAGCUGCUACACAGAGAAAGACUAAUUUUGGAAACCGAUUAUUAAAAAAUAUAUUCACUCUGAACGACGCAAUCAAUCAAACCUUCAAGAUGCAGGUUCAGCCGGUGCCGUGGAACUCCCAGGCAACACACGGCUCCUUCCCAGGCUGCUGUCUGGCCCGGCCAGGCCUCCUUCCCACUGGGACUGUCCCAGCUCUGCCCUGGGGACAUUGGCCUCCGGCCUGCCCAGGCUGCAGUGAGGAUGGAGAGGGAAGAGGUCGGGGCUCCCGAUUGCUGACUGGUCAGGAGGCAGCUGCGGAGUCAGGAUUGAAGCCGCAUCGGCUCCCAUGCCAUGAAGUGGACAAAGUGGAC